RNAcentral lists this unclassified non-coding RNA (253 nucleotides) under uncultured Pirellulaceae bacterium. RNAcentral describes it as "contains 16S-23S intergenic spacer region". It matches the Rfam family "Bacterial small subunit ribosomal RNA", at positions 524 to 776 of the family's 1533-position model. The record is from RNAcentral. Lineage: Bacteria; Pseudomonadati; Planctomycetota; Planctomycetia; Pirellulales; Pirellulaceae.
GACGAACCGGACAAACGUUAUUCGGAAUUAUUGGGCUUAAAGGGUGCGUAGGCGGCCAUGAAAGUUGGGUGUGAAAGCCCUCGGCUCAACCGAGGAACUGCGAUCAAAACUGCAUGGCUUGAGUGAGGCAGAGGUGAGCGGAACUUGCGGUGGAGCGGUGAAAUGCGUUGAUAUCGCAAGGAACACCAGUGGCGAAGGCGGCUCACUGGGCCUUUACUGACGCUGAGGCACGAAAGCUAGGGUAGCGAACGGG